RNAcentral lists this transfer RNA (90 nucleotides) under Chloroflexota bacterium. Its description in RNAcentral is "Chloroflexi bacterium (sediment metagenome) tRNA-Ser". It matches the Rfam family "tRNA". From Rfam's summary of the family: Transfer RNA (tRNA) molecules are approximately 80 nucleotides in length. Lineage: Bacteria; Bacillati; Chloroflexota. The record is from RNAcentral.
GGAGAGGUCGCCUAGUCCGGUCUAUGGCGCGCGUCUGGAAAGCGCGUAUGGGUCACACCAUCGAGAGUUCAAAUCUCUCCCUCUCCGCUA